GGGGGUAUGGCGAAAUUGGUAGACGCAACGGACUUAAAAUCCGUAGACGUUAAAAGUCGUGAGGAUUCAAGUCCCUCUAUCCCCA
RNAcentral lists this transfer RNA (85 nucleotides) under Pelargonium australe. RNAcentral's name for it is "tRNA-Leu". It matches the Rfam family "tRNA". From Rfam's summary of the family: Transfer RNA (tRNA) molecules are approximately 80 nucleotides in length. Their secondary structure includes four short double-helical elements and three loops (D, anti-codon, and T loops). Lineage: Eukaryota; Viridiplantae; Streptophyta; Magnoliopsida; Geraniales; Geraniaceae. The record is from RNAcentral.